ACAGCUGUGGGUUUCUUGUCAGCUUGGGACUACAAGCAGAACAAGCUCAAGUCUCUCUACAGAAGAGCCAGAAGUGGGGAAAGCAAAUGGAGGACUGCUUUGCACAAGGGACUACUUUUCCAGUCACUUGACCCAUGCCCAGCUGAAGGAUUGAAGGUAUCAUGGACCAAAACAGUAAAAGAAAGAAGGAUCUUCACAAUGGUACCCAUUAUAGAGCAAUUUGUGCUUCCUCAGAGAUCAGUCUGGGGUACUGCAGCGGCCCAUGGCCAGGAACACACUUUCAUUUGUCUGAAGUCUUUGUUUGACUAAGUGGAAGUAGCUCAUCAGACUUUUAUUGCUCCUUUACUGCCACUUUUGAACUGUGGCUGAGGUGAGUUCACAGCAACAGCCUCCUCCAAUGGGAAGGUUCUGGAGAGACAACAUGGAGAAUAAGCAAAUACCAGUUUAAACCUUGCCAGGCAAUAACUAGUGACCAGAGGGGCUGAAAGAAGGCUUUUGGAACCACAUUGUGAGCAAAAGAAUGACUUUGCAAUGAAAAAAGAGAGAAUAUUCCCAUACUUGCACAUUUCUGGAAGAAUUUCCUUCAGAUGCAGAAGAAAAAUAAUUCCACUCAUCCUGAACUUCCUAAAGAAACUUCUGCUUCUUAGGUUCCUGUGAACUUUCAUCACAAGGAGUCACAGCAAACUCAGCAUAAAAAGAUUUAAAUAUUCCCCCUGUCAUGGCUGAGACCCCAUAUCCAAGGGGAAAAAUACACCUCUUGGCCAUUUCUCUUAGACUCCUAAGGCCUUGCUUCUCCUCUCUAGACCUCUGAGUGUGUCUUUAGAGUGAAUACCUGUUAAUGGAUAUAGAGCAUUAGCAUAACUUUUAAUAAGGCAUCAGAUCUUUGCUGUGCUAGAAAACCUUCCUUGGAGACACAAGUCUGGGACAACAUAUCUCUGGAUUUUUCAAGUGAAUCCUCUGGGGAGCAAAAGGCAAUACCUUUUUGUUUUAUUCUUUAUGAAGAAAGACCUUGGAAGAUUGAAUUUAUCAUUUUAGGACUAGUUCUGGCUUGUGAACACCUCUUACCAUUUUUUUCCCCUGAAUCCAUAUGAGCUAAGCCUAAUCCCAUUUAAUUCUAAGUCUAGAAUUUUUAUUUUAUAGUUUUUAUUGAGAACAUUACAGUGGAUAUGAUGUAUCUGACUGAAUUAAUAAUUUUCAGUUUUACAGAAGUCUGUUUUGAAAGACCAGGGAAGAACAUGUGCAAACUGGUAGUUGCUUAAUUUUAAGUUAACUUGUUGCAAUCACCAGAAGAAACUUAUGUUGCCAGGGUCUCAUCCAUGCUGGUUCAGCAUGCAUUUGACAGUAUGAAAGAACCAGGAUUGUGACCUGAAUCAUUAUUGUGACAAAAGCAUCAUAAUUUUCAUUAAUUGAAUUGAAUUAUCAAUUUCCUCAUUGAUAUUCAGGACAUUUUAGUAGCUUGGCCAUUUCUUCCCUGCUCAUACCUCAAUAUAAAAUUGAUGAAACCACAGGCUGAACUUUAAACACUGCAAAUAAAAGUCUGAGGAUAAAAUUGGCAGGCAGGGAACAAAAGAAUAUGACAGGUAAGGGUCUAAAAAGAAAAGUCUCUGAUGCUUUGAUGUGAUCCAUCCAUAUGCUCAAACACCUCUGGGGUUUUGUGAGAGGUUGGUUGAUUGGCUUCUUUUUUGUUUAAAGAUUCAGAAAAUAAUAUUCCUUCAUGCAGUUUUUUUCAUGAGCAGCUCCUAAUUUGAUAUUUAAUUUUCAAAUAAUGCUGGGCAGAUUUCCUAAACUCACAGGUUACAUUGUAUCUUCUGGUAGGAGGGGAGUAACUCACACAGUUUUUAUCACUAAAUGGGAUUACUCCCUGAAGUUAUUUUUCAAAAAAUAUUGCUGCUCCAAACUUGUUCUUUGGACUAUUUCCCAAAACAUUAGCAAUGUAUAUCCAGAAAUGUAAAUGAAACACUUUUUGGAAAGGUGUUUUCAGAAAAGAUUUACAAUAGUCCCUCUCUGCUACUUGUGGUGAUCUAAUGUUUCACCUUGACAGUGUUGUUUUGGGAAGAAAAUAAAACCAAGGCUCUCCUUAAGGUGUAGAUUUCCCUUGCAGAUUAACCUAGUGCUUACUCAUGGGCACAGGAUUCAGUUCUGGUACUUGUCAGAUUAUUUAAGACAAAACUCACAGUAAAUGACCCAGAAUUUUUUCUCUGUGGUGUGACUAUCCUGAACUGAGGAUCACUCUGGACACAGCAUUGUUGAGACUCUGAAGUGUCCCCUGCACAACUAUCCCAAAAUAUCAGCCCUCCAUAAGCAUUUCAGGAUAAUGAGUCACAUGAAGGCAUAAUCUGUUUUGAUAUAAGAAAUUAAAACCUAUCCUUUAUAACAAGAAAACAGCCUCAAGCUCUGUGAGCUACAAGAAGAUUCUUGAUGUAGGUUAAGGCUAUUCUUUUGGGCAGAAAUCUCAAAAUAUUGAAGUUAUGUCUGUAAAAAAUACAAAAUAUUAAAAAGUAAAGAUUCAUAUAUCUGAAGGAUUGAUAUUUGUAGGGUUGGAUGGGUUAUACUGAAGGGAUUGAAGAGAAGCAUUGGGCUUAUCUGCUUGCUUUUAUGAUUUUGCAUAAAAAACAGUAAAGGAAAAAGAUAAUGGGAAACUCUGCUAACUGUGCAUUGACAAAAUGUUUGCAGUUAGUAUUGUGCCUCCCAUUCCUUGAUUCUGCAAAAUCUUUCUUCCAAAUUUGUUUAUACCUUAAAAUAAGAAGUAAUAGUCAAUUCAAUUAUCUGACAAAUAGCACAGAUUCCUAUUGUUAUUAAAGUUACCCAGCUGGAAUAACAAUGCCCCACUGCUUGCCAAAUCAACACCAUCACUGCUAAAAGAGAUAAAUUGUAACUGAAUACUCUCACAUGCACAAUGAAACUGUCCUGAAAUGCUCCCUGCUCACAGCAAGUUGGGUAAAAGUUGCUUCAGUCUCAGAAGUCAGUGUUAAAUUUUCUGCUUCCGUGGUUGUUUUUUCACUCCUUAUUUCUUCCCCUUGGAGGUUUGUCUAAUGCAUUUCUCUCUUUGGGUACAUCAUACACAUUUACAAAAUUUCUUAAUAAGAAAUUGCUUUAAUGCUAUAAAGUGAUUUGACUUGACAUUAGGGCAACCAGUCCUCAAACACUAACCCAUGGCAUUUUGAUUUAUGCAUCCCAUAGGCUGUAGUCAACCCUUUGCACAUGGUAGCACUGGAAUGCUGCCCCUUUUUAGAAGAAAAAGCUUCACCCAUGAAAAGUAACUAGGUCUAUUGCAGCUCAGAGGUAGAAACGGGGAGGACAAAUCUUACUGGAAAGGUACCUACAGAAAAGGUCUCCACUUUUUCUUUCCCUUGAAAAUGCUUUUGAAAGCCCAUAAAAUUGUGUGGUGCAUGCCAAAUGACCUGUGAAAUAACCAUCCACAGCUGCAGCUGUAAAAAAAAUUACGUACCACUGCUGGCACUCAUAUUGAUCUGAUAAAACCUUUUUAAUGUGAAAUCAUCAGGGCUUUGAAAAGAUGAAUCCAUGCAUCAGGAAAGAGCACAACACAGAUUUUUGGAGGAACAAAGGACCACUGCCACCAGCAGCAGCAGCUAUUGAAAAUAAGGAAUAUAGAAUAGAUUUCUGGGACUGUAUCUGAAAUUGAAGAUGAUCUGCUUUGGAGAUUAGUCUGGCACACCAACAGAAAGUCACAUGCGCAAUACAGAAACUCUCUUGCUGGAAGAAAGUGUGCAUAGCAAAUCUGAUCCAACUUAUUCUGUGGAGGGGACCGAAUUAUCAUUUAAAUUGUGAGGUAGUAGAUCCUAAUGUGUGCUUAGGACUCAUUUAUAUAUCUUUUUAUAGCAGAAACUCAAGAUGUAAAUUGAAGGUUUACAGCAAAGCUGAAUUGUGGAGGCUGUUUACUUACUGAACUGUAUUGUACCUCUUUUUGCUUGCUCAUUGUGCCAGAACUGUGAGAGGGUGACAGUAUCCCUUGAGAGGAGAGAUAACAUUUUUGAUGUUUUUUUCUCCUUUUUUCUUUAUCUGUGUUUUUCCAUUGUCUUUUUGAUCUCCUUUGUGCAACAUUCUCAAUCAGUAGUAACAGGUACCAGGCUCCAUGGCUGUUACUUUGAUGAAACCAAUGCCAUCAUCUGACACCAAUCAGCUACGUCAAUGAUAAAGCCUUGCUGCUGGUUCUUACAGAGCAGAGUGAUGAGCCAAGGCCGGGGAUGGGAGCCUAUACCUUGGGACUGCUGACUUCAGCCAGGUCUCCCAGCACUACCAGACUCCCUGUUUGGAAGCAGCAAGCCUACAAUCCCUGCAUCCCGAGCAGACCACCAGGUUCACUGGCAGGAAGCCAGGCAGCUUUCCAGUGGAAAACUACGUGUGGCUGGAUGUUGGUUAAUUGAAAUAUUUUAUGUUUUAACAUGAAAUUUGCUGGCUCUCACAAAUCAGUGUUUUCCAGUGCAAUGAUGUGCCGUUAGAAAUCUCAUGAUCAGCUCUAAUUGCAACUUUCAUGGCCAAAAUCUUUGUUGACCAGAGUCUCAUAACUUUCUGGCAAUCACUAAAUAUGUUUUCAUAAACACAAACAAAAAAGCAUAUUCUGUUUUGUGCUCAACAACUGUGAAAUUUGCAAGAUUGUUUCUGGGCAGGGGUAUUAUUAAGAAAAUUCCUGCCUUCAGGGCAGCAACGCUGGGGACACACAUGUCCCUGUUUCAACCUUAUCACUGCUGCAUCAGCUUAAAACCACUUGAGAAGCAUCGUGUUCCUACUUCUGAGGAGAAGACAAUGGCCUCAUUGCCCAAUGAGGCAUGCUGUCCAAGUCUAAUUAGAAACAGGAACUCACUCACUAGAGCACUAUUUAUUCUUAUUCUUACGGCUCAAGAUUUCGAAAAUCUUUUUCAUUGUUUUUAUUAUUAUAAUAGAGAAGGCUGUUUAUUGAUUUUUCUACUACAUGAGUGUUUGCGUACACUGACUUCCCGCUUCUAAUGAAACAGAGCCUCCUAAAACAAUAAUAAAAAAUAAUAAUA
RNAcentral lists this long non-coding RNA (5006 nucleotides) under Taeniopygia guttata (zebra finch). RNAcentral describes it as "lncRNA (ENSTGUG00000027087.1)". The record is from RNAcentral. Lineage: Eukaryota; Metazoa; Chordata; Aves; Passeriformes; Estrildidae.